This 503-nucleotide ribosomal RNA is filed under the name uncultured bacterium. RNAcentral describes it as "partial 16S ribosomal RNA". It matches the Rfam family "Bacterial small subunit ribosomal RNA", at positions 28 to 523 of the family's 1533-position model. The record is from RNAcentral.
GAUGAACGCUAGCGGCAGGCCUAACACAUGCAAGUCGAGGGGUAGCAGGAUUAAGCUUGCUUAAUUGCUGACGACCGGCGCACGGGUGCGUAACGCGUAUGCAACCUACCUUAUACUGGGGUAUAGCCCGGAGAAAUUCGGAUUAAUCCCCCAUAGUACUAAUGAAUCGCAUGGUUUAUUAGUUAAAGCAUUGCGGUAUAAGAUGGGCAUGCGUCCUAUUAGCUAGAUGGUGAGGUAACGGCUCACCAUGGCUACGAUAGGUAGGGGGCCUGAGAGGGUGGUCCCCCACACAGGUACUGAGACACGGACCAGACUCCUACGGGAGGCAGCAGUGAGGAAUAUUGGUCAAUGGGCGCAAGCCUGAACCAGCCAUGCCGCGUGCAGGAAGAAUGCCCUAUGGGUUGUAAACUGCUUUUAUUUGGGAAUAAACCUCUUUACGUGUAGAGAGCUGAAGGUACCAAAUGGAUAAGCACCGGCUAACUCCGUGCCAGCAGCCGCAGUAA